UCCGAUCGGGACGGUGUAGCCGUCUCCUCCGGGCAGGAACUCCUCGCUUACGCGUCCAGAGGGGACCUUCGGCUUCGCACCUGCACAAAGGUCGAGCCGAGGCUCUCGGCCCGACCCCUCCGACGAUCAAGUUAGCGGAUUUGGAGGGGGUUUCAGAUGAAGAAGUGUUUUUGUGUGUCUGUCUCCCCCCCUCUUUCUAAUGAACGAGAGGGUAUUUAUAGGGAAGCAUACUGCUUCCCGAGCUGCCCGCUUGCAGGGGCAGGCUGGUAGCGUCUGACUUUGUGUUGGCGUGGCGUGAAGAAUUGAGCUUUGGCAUAAUGUUAAUGCGCCUCAGUCGGCAUUCCGGUCUGCAUUGACCAGGUGCUGUUGUGUGAGGCGUCAUCUGACGUCAGCCGAGUCUUAUCAUAAUUACUAUCCUCAUCAUAUUCCCCCCCGAAGGAAGUCAUGCCAUAAAAGGGGGGGGUCCGAGGCAUGGCUUCGACUUUGAGAAACUGUCCCAACCGGGCGCCUUGCCGGAGGUAUGAGAAUCGUGGAGUUUAGCAACUAAGAAGGGUCGGAUGUGCAGUGGUGACCCAGGUAGCGUGCAGUCGACGAGCACACUUAGUAGGGCAGGCUGACGCAUGGUAUGACCUCGGUGAGCAUGGAGCCGAGGAGGACGACGCAGGCGAGCUGGCCGCGCGCAUGGGGCCGAGGAGCCAAAGAGCCGAGGUAGGCGGGCUGGCCACGCGCAUGGGGCCGAGGAGCCGAGGCAGGCGGGCUGGCCGCACGCAUGGGGCCGAGGAGCCGAGGCAGGCGGGCUGGCCACGCGCAUGGGCCCGAGGAGCCGAAGAGCCGAGGUAGGCCGGCUGGCCACGCGCAUGGGGCCGAGGUGCCAAGGAGGCGUGGAGCUAAGGAGCCGAGGAAGGCGGGGAACUGAGGAGCCGAGGAGCUGAGGAGCCGAGGAGCCGUGGAGGCGUGGAGCUGAGGAGCCGAGGAGCCGAAGAGCCGAGGUAGGCGGGCUGGCCGCGCGCAUGGGGCCGAGGAGCCGAGGAGCAUGACGCAGGCGGGCUGGCCGCGCAGGUGUGUCUCAGGAAGCAUGGGGCCGAGGAGUACGACGCAAGCGGGCUGGCCGCGCAGGUGUCUCGGGACGCAUGGAGCCGAGGAGCACGACGCAGGCGAGCAGUCACCCGACAUUCCGGGUCCUUCCUCUAGCGCCAAUCUGUUGUGGGAAACAACUUUUAGCUGUGGCCUCGGGGCCGACGCGGCUCGGUUCGGGUCCGGACGACGGGGAUCUCCCUAGGGCGCUCCUCGAGCCCGCUGAGGCGGUCGGGUGCGGUGUCCGAUCGGGACGGUGUAGCCGUCUCCUCCGGGCAGGAACUCAUCGCCUACGCAUCCAGAGGGGACCUUCGGCUUCGUACAUGCACAAAGGUCGAGCCGAGGCUCUCGGCCCGACCCCUCUGACGAUCAAGUUAGCGGAUGUGGAGGGGGUUUCAAAUGAAGAAGUGUUUUUGUGUGUCUGUCUCCCCCCCCUCUUUCUAAUGAACGAGAGGGUAUUUAUAGGGAAGCAUACUGCUUCCUGAGCUGCCCGCUUGCA
RNAcentral lists this long non-coding RNA (1573 nucleotides) under Musa acuminata (dwarf banana). RNAcentral describes it as "long non-coding RNA (MACU_LNC000882)". The record is from RNAcentral. Lineage: Eukaryota; Viridiplantae; Streptophyta; Magnoliopsida; Zingiberales; Musaceae.